CUAAAAUAGUGCAUUUCAAUCCAUUACUUUGAUUGCUUACAAUAUAUAUUGGCAGCCACUAACCCAUAAAGAAAACUACAUUACGAACAAAACGAUUCUGGCAUAACUUUUUCAAUCAAUCUACAUAACAUUUACUACAUAAAGAACUCUCUAUAAAUCCAAGAUAGUAUCAUAAUGAUCAGCAAAACUCGAUAUUUCCUCCUAAUCUUUUCCUUUUCUUCAUCAUGUUUUUUAUCCUCUUUUGUAAUCCCGAAAUAGCAAUUCUAGCGUGUUCAGUAUAAUCAAGUUCACACCACCUAAAAAACUUGCAUCCAACCUGAAUCUUGAGAACUAAAAUUUAAACAAAAAAAAGAUGUUUUAAAUGGAACCAUACCCGACCAUCUUCACAUCCAAGAAACCAAC
This 402-nucleotide long non-coding RNA is filed under the name Solanum tuberosum (potato). RNAcentral describes it as "long non-coding RNA (STUB_LNC010679)". Lineage: Eukaryota; Viridiplantae; Streptophyta; Magnoliopsida; Solanales; Solanaceae. The record is from RNAcentral.